This 483-nucleotide ribosomal RNA is filed under the name uncultured bacterium. RNAcentral describes it as "partial 16S ribosomal RNA". It matches the Rfam family "Bacterial small subunit ribosomal RNA", at positions 30 to 507 of the family's 1533-position model. The record is from RNAcentral.
AUUGAACGCUGGCGGCAGGCCUAACACAUGCAAGUCGAGCGGAUGAAGGGAGCUUGCUCCUGGAUUCAGCGGCGGACGGGUGAGUAAUGCCUAGGAAUCUGCCUGGUAGUGGGGGAUAACGUCCGGAAACGGGCGCUAAUACCGCAUACGUCCUGAGGGAGAAGUGGGGGAUCUUCGGACCUCACGCUAUCAGAUGAGCCUAGGUCGGAUUAGCUAGUUGGUGGGGUAAAGGCCUACCAAGGCGACGAUCCGUAACUGGUCUGAGAGGAUGAUCAGUCACACUGGAACUGGGACACGGUCCAGACUCCUACGGGAGGCAGCAGUGGGGAAUAUUGGACAAUGGGCGAAAGCCUGAUCCAGCCAUGCCGCGUGUGUGAAGAAGGUCUUCGGAUUGUAAAGCACUUUAAGUUGGGAGGAAGGGCAGUAAGUUAAUACCUUGCUGUUUUGACGUUACCAACAGAAUAAGCACCGGCUAACUUCGUG